AAAAAUAAUAGUUAUUAUUAUAAUUUAAAAUUAAAAAAAAUCUAGAAAUGAUAUUAAAAUAAAGAAAUGACAAUGAUUGAUAAAUUAAAAGGUAAUAUUUUAAAAUUUAAAAUUUCAAAUUUAUGAAAUCGUAGAAUCUUAAAAUUGUGUUAUAUUUUUUUCCAUUUUACUAUUUAAAAUCACGAUUUUAUCUUUAUUUUACUUAAUUCCCAUUUUACUUACAUUUUAACUCAUUUUAGUGAUUUUAAAAUUGUUAAAUAAAUUGUAAAAUUGUAGGAGUCAACUCGAGAUUUUAACAACUAUAAGUUUGCAUCUUUUAGGGUUAGGGUUUAGGCAGUCAUUGUGGAUCCUUCAGAUCCUUAGAGAAAGAACAAGAAUGAAGUUAAAUUUGGGCUUUAUGCUACUCUUUGGCAUGUUUUUGGUUCAUGAUAUCCUCUGCACUUCUUUAUUUUUGUAUUAGUUUCGCUUACUUUCAUGAUUACAGUUUGUAGUUACCAUAAUUAGACAUGGACUGGUAUGGUUUGGAAUUAUGGUUUUAAGGUAACAGCUGUUAUUUAAAGAUUUUUUAGCUUCCCAUUAAUUUUACACUCGUUAUGUUAAGGCAACAGAGAAAAAAAUACACCUGUAAUGACUGUAAUGGCCUUUAUGUAAUGGCAACUACUGUUAAUUACUGUUAUCUCACCUUUUUUUCCCCUCAAAUGGAGGCAAUAGCAAUUCCUCAUCAUUUGUUUCUAGUUUGGGGAGUUUUAAGUUGCUAUGUCUCACUCUCUCUCAACUUUCCAUAUAAAAUUUUCUAU
This 797-nucleotide unclassified non-coding RNA is filed under the name Hevea brasiliensis (rubber tree). The record is from RNAcentral. Lineage: Eukaryota; Viridiplantae; Streptophyta; Magnoliopsida; Malpighiales; Euphorbiaceae.